This 527-nucleotide ribosomal RNA is filed under the name Dictyophora duplicata. RNAcentral describes it as "SSU rRNA". It matches the Rfam family "Bacterial small subunit ribosomal RNA", at positions 364 to 960 of the family's 1533-position model. Lineage: Eukaryota; Fungi; Basidiomycota; Agaricomycetes; Phallales; Phallaceae. The record is from RNAcentral.
UUAGUCAAUGCUCGUAAGAGUGAACUAGCUAACUGGAAUCAUGAGUGUGUCACUUGUGAUAAGGUAAAGGAAAAAUUAUGAUGUCACUUUACUAGUAGUGUUGUCCAAAGCUGGUGCCAGAAGACUCGGUAAUGCCAGAGACGCAAGCGUUAGUCAUCCUGAUCAGGCGUAAAGGGUUUGUAGGCAGCUUUAAAAUAAUUAAAGAUAGAAUCAUAUAGAGGUCACUUUUAGAUAAUUCUUAGAGUAGGGUUGAUAUCUGUAGAGACUAAGAGGAAUACUAAUUAGCGAAGGCACUUUUCCAAAUUAUGAUUGACGCUGAGAAACGAAGGGGAGGAUAGAAAAUAGGAUUAGAUACCCUCGUAUCCCUCUCUGUCAACGAUGAAUGGUAGUUGCUAGUAUAAAUUAUUAGUGGCGAUGCUAACGCGUUAACCAUUCCGCCUUGUGAGUACGACUGCAAAGUUGAAAACAAAAAAAUUAGUCGGUUUCGGAGCAAACGAAGUGAAGCAUGUUAUUUAAUUCGAAUAAUC